Molecule: long non-coding RNA, 1395 nt
Filed under: Zonotrichia albicollis (white-throated sparrow)
Lineage: Eukaryota; Metazoa; Chordata; Aves; Passeriformes; Passerellidae
Description: lncRNA (ENSZALG00000007519.1)
Source: RNAcentral
CUCAAGAACAGGAGCUGGUUCCCAGCUUCCCAGGGGACUCCUUUGGGAGCCACAGCCCAACAGCACCACCCACCUCAGGCAAGGAUCUGCCUCCUGCAUCAUCUUCCUGGUGGCGUGGGGUCAGUUAAAGUUCUCCAGCAGUGCUGCGGAGGUUUUCUCCACACAAGCGGGGGUGUUAACCAUGGUGGCAUGGCACGGCUCCAGCUCGGCUCUCCCGCUGCUCUGGCAGCCGGGGCAGCGCACCCCGCGCUGUUUAAACAGCUGCCUCGUUUCAUCUGGGACGUGGCUGCCCUUCAGUCCUGGGAGAAGAGCUCAUCUUCUGGAGAGUUUGCAUAACAAUUAACAUUUGUCAGCUGAGAUCUGCCUGGUGAAAGAUCGCUAUUUACAAGUAGGCGGCUGGAGUGAUACGUGUCUCCCUUCUUCCUGAAACCUGGAUUUGAAAAGCUCUGUGAUGCCUCAUCUUCUCAUAACCUUGCAGAACAACAGCAUUAGCAGUAAUGAGCAAAGCACAGCAGCACCUCAGGACAAACUCUGGGACAAAUGGAAAGACCACCUGGGUGUAAUGUUGUAGGAAGCAGAUAGCAAAUGGUAUCUUCUUUUUAUAACUAUUAUGUUAGAAAGGAUAAAUUCAGCACUUCAGCGUUUUCUUUAGGUUUUUGACAUAUACAAAUAAUUUCUUGUUCUAAGAAAUAAGUGAUACCAGAAUGUAUUCAAUAAUAGUUAAAAUAUGGGUCUCGGCUGUUUGUUUUUCUUUCUGUCUAAGCCUCUGUUACAUGAGCUUACCUUUGCACAGAAGCAGCACAGAAGUCUAUGGGGAAAAGAAAAAUAGUGCUAGAGGCUGCCAAAAAGUGUGGGGAAAAAGUCAAUGAUGAGUGAGAAAGGCAGAAGGAAAUGAAUUUAUGAAGCUCUUGUCCUGAUUUCUUUAUGCUUGAAUCCAUCUAAGAAUACGACUUCUUUCCAAAAAUACAGCUACUCUCAGUCUUUGACCCCCAAAUGCUGGAGCAGGAGGUCUGGGAUAGCAGCUAUGAGCCCUAGCACCUUGAUCCCAGCAUCAAACUUUGUGUUCAUGGACAAUUUACUUUUUCCUUCAAUUUUCAGCAACAUCUUUGGUUUUCAGUAGCACAUAUUGGUAUUAAACUCUACAAAAUCUGCUCUUACUGUCUUGACCUUCUCCAUGGAAAAUACUUCUGAGACCCGUGGGAUGUUGUUCAGUUACCAUAGCACAAUGCCCAGAACUUCUCUGGCAGUGGUAACUCCAAGCCAGGCUGCUUUUCACUGCCAACCUGCUCACACACCAUGGUGACUUCACCCAAACGGAGGGUGAAAAGAAACCAACACCUACCUUUGUUUUAAGACAGCCCUGAUUAGAGGGUCUCGCAAUGAGUUACUUACACC